CCUUGAAAUAGGAUGUUUUAUAUAACAUAGUUUCCAAAAUGUAGGUAUUCACCCAUUAAUGGAUCCUGAGAUUAAUGUAAUGGGGGUUGAACUAUGUCUGAAUAUGACUUCAAUUAUGGGAGUUGAGAAGAGACUACAUCUUGGCUACAAGUAAUUAAUACUCUGUAUUUUGGGGAAAUGAAAAAUGAUGAGCAAGCUGAAGGGUAAUUUAUGUAUAAGAAGAAAGGCAUGUUGCUGGAUCUGGAUCCCAAACCUAGGCAUGUUGCUGGAUCUGGAUCCCAAACCUAGAAGUUACGCAGUUAUCCUACCACGAGCACCAGCAUGAAGACAAGAUCAAGGACGGAUGUACAGAAAGAUUUAGGAAAACUACAUCCCAAAUUGACCCUUGAAUAAUGUAACUGUGCUCACAAAUCAACCAAUAUGGGGUCUGCUUUUCCUCUGGAUGUCAUAUGCUGUGAAAUAAUCUAUGUCCUAGAUGUUUAAGGUAAGUUAGCCCCUGUAUUAUGGGAGCAAUUGCUUACUUUAAAGUUCUAUAAAUUUGAAAAGUUCCUGCUUGCUUUCUACCCAAGCUAAAUUCAAGUAUCCCCAUUUGGAUAGAAGCAUGAAGAUCCUGAUGCUUCCUCAUUGUCCCUAUUUGAUAAAUGCACCUUCUUCUCACAGUCACUUCCAAGAGUACAUUAUGUGCUCUAGUUCUGCCCUAGGUCAGCUUUGUACAAUUAUCGUAACUGGAUUCUACUAGGUAGAUGUUUUUAUUUUUCUAAGUGUUAUAUAUUUUUUUUCUUUUUUAAAAAUCCAGGAUAUAAUACUUAUCAUCAUCUUAAGUUAUUGAGGUAUAAAAAUAAUAACCUCAAAUUUGACCUUCAUAAAAAUAUAUUCUUAUAGAAGAAUGUUUUAAAAUCUCCUCAUAUAGUCUUUGUAUUUUUUACUUUUUAUUAUCAAAUUCCUCUGUAUAUACACACAUGCACACACACCCUACCAUACUCUCUCUCUCACAUUCCUUUAAAUUUCAGCAAUUAUCCUUGUGCUGCCUGCAUAACUCGGAAAUGAAGGGAAUUAGAAUGUUAAGUGGAUUAAAAGGUUAAUUGCCUAAUUUUACUUUCUUUCCUGAAAAGACUAGUUUGACCUAUGCAAGUUUCCUUUUUGGAAGCUAGGAAUCUUUUGAAAUAUACUUGAAUGAAUUAGUUUUUAUCUUUCAAGUUAACUACUUUUACAUAAUACUUCUAAUGUUAGUUUCUUGGUAACUGAUAUUUUUCUGUCUUUUUCUGUUACCAUGUUUGGGAAAUUGUGAUCUCUAAACUUUGUUUCUAUUAACAAUUAUAUGAAGAAAAUAUUUUGGAAAAUGUCAUAAACAGCUGAAUAAGCCUAGCAUAUAUCUUAUUUUUUUCAAGAUGCCUCCUGGAAAUAAAUUAAAAUACCUGAAAAAUUAGAGAUAUUUCAGAAAAUAUUCUAUUUUCUAUUUUUAAUUAAAUACUGUGACAAAGCAGC
This 1485-nucleotide long non-coding RNA is filed under the name Canis lupus familiaris (dog). RNAcentral's name for it is "lncRNA (ENSCAFG00845011476.1)". The record is from RNAcentral. Lineage: Eukaryota; Metazoa; Chordata; Mammalia; Carnivora; Canidae.